RNAcentral lists this ribosomal RNA (424 nucleotides) under uncultured Bacteroides sp. Its description in RNAcentral is "bacterial SSU rRNA". It matches the Rfam family "Bacterial small subunit ribosomal RNA", at positions 355 to 776 of the family's 1533-position model. Lineage: Bacteria; Pseudomonadati; Bacteroidota; Bacteroidia; Bacteroidales; Bacteroidaceae. The record is from RNAcentral.
UGAGGAAUAUUGGUCAAUGGGCGAAGGCCUGAACCAGCCAAGUAGCGUGAAGGAUGACUGCCCUAUGGGUUGUAAACUUCUUUUAUAAAGGAAUAAAGUGCAGCACGUGUGCUGUUUUGUAUGUACUUUAUGAAUAAGGAUCGGCUAACUCCGUGCCAGCAGCCGCGGUAAUACGGAGGAUCCGAGCGUUAUCCGGAUUUAUUGGGUUUAAAGGGAGCGUAGAUGGGUUGUUAAGUCAGUUGUGAAAGUUUGCGGCUCAACCGUAAAAUUGCAAUUGAUACUGGCAGUCUUGAGUACAGUUGAGGUAGGCGGAAUUCGUGGUGUAGCGGUGAAAUGCUUAGAUAUCACGAAGAACUCCGAUUGCGAAGGCAGCUUACUAAACUGCAACUGACAUUGAGGCUCGAAAGUGUGGGUAUCAAACAGG